RNAcentral lists this ribosomal RNA (699 nucleotides) under Helvella corium. Its description in RNAcentral is "partial large subunit ribosomal RNA". It matches the Rfam family "Eukaryotic large subunit ribosomal RNA", at positions 71 to 779 of the family's 3401-position model. Lineage: Eukaryota; Fungi; Ascomycota; Pezizomycetes; Pezizales; Helvellaceae. The record is from RNAcentral.
GGGAUUGCCCCAGUAACGGCGAGUGAAGCGGCAAGAGCUCAAAUUUUGAAUCUGGGGUCGACGACCCCCGAGUUGUAAUUUGGAGAGGCAUCCUCCGGGAGGAGCGCUGGCCCAGGUUCCUUGGAACAGGACGUCACAGAGGGUGAGAAUCCCGUGCCAGGCUGGCUGCCUCCUCCGGCGUGGAGGGCCUUCGACGAGUCGAGUUGUUUGGGAAUGCAGCUCCAAGUGGGUGGUAGAUUUCAUCUAAAGCUAAAUACCGGCGGGAGACCGAUAGCGCACAAGUAGAGUGAUCGAAAGAUGAAAAGCACUUUGAAAAUAGAGUCAAAAAGUACGUGAAAUUGUUGGAAGGGAAGCGCUUGAGGCCAGACUCGGACCCGAGCAAACAUCGAGCCCCUCGGGGCCGUGCAAUUGCUCGGUGCCGGGCCAGCAUCGGUUGGCGUGGCGGGACAAAGGUGCGGGGAAUGUGGCUCCCCUCGGGGUGUGUUAUCAGGCCCGCGCCCCAUGCCGUCGACGCCGACCGUGGACCGCGCCCUACGGGCUAGGAUGCUGGCUUAAUGGCCUUCAGCGACCCGUCUUGAAACACGGACCAAGGAGUCUAACAUCUAUGCGAGUGUUUGGGCGUCAAACCCUUGCGCGUAAUGAAAGUGAGCGGAGGUGGGAACCCCUCACCGGGCGCACCAUCGACCGAUCCUGAUGUCU